Molecule: long non-coding RNA, 1335 nt
Filed under: Sus scrofa (pig)
Lineage: Eukaryota; Metazoa; Chordata; Mammalia; Artiodactyla; Suidae
Description: lncRNA (ENSSSCG00050047623.1)
Source: RNAcentral
GUAUAUGUUUGGGGAACACCUUGAAGCUUACUCUUAGGGUAACAGAAAUGCAAAAUACCAUCCCCUGAUUAAAAAAAAAAAGUAAAUUUCCUAUCAUGUUAUUAGAGUGUGUAAUUCAGGUUUGGAUAGCUAAAAUCUGUUGCACAAAUUUGUUGUUCAUUGAUCAUGGUGAUUUGUUUAAUGAUACGUAAAAAGAACAUGCCAAAGCCUUGUAAGAGUUAAAAUGAAAACAACCAUUGUUUAAGGAAGAAGAAAAUCAAAACAAUAUGUAGGUGUAGAUGCACUGUACAGGAAUGUGUCUCAUCAUGUUCAGUAAAUUUAAAACACAUCAAAGUCAGGCAGAAACUAAGCUGGUGAGACUUCGAGCCUUUUUAUUUUGUCUGGGUCGUGUGUUUGUGUGUGUGUGUGUAGGUAUGUGUAUAUAAACACAUGCAUAUGUAUUUCUUCCUUUUAAGGAAACAAACAUAGGUAUUAAGAAGUAAUUGGGGACUUCCCUUUGUGGCUCAGAUUCGUUAACUACUGAGCCAUGACGGGAACUCCCUGUUGGUUAGUUUUAAAUCAGCCUUCCUCAGAGUAGAACCUAUAACAGAUUUUCAAUUCUGAUAUACUGAAUCAGAACAUCUGGGAGUGGCAGCCCGAGACUGUAUUUUGAAAGAGUUCCCCAAUUGCUUCACAUGUACUCUAAGGUUUGAGAAUCACUAUUUGUCAAAGAGAGAGCCAUUCAGGUUAGAAGACCUGUGUCUGAAAUUUGCCCAUGUUUGAGGGAGGCACUGGCCAUGGUUAAAUUCUUGCUCAAUGCAAAAAGAUUGUCAUGUACCCAGCUCUUUAAAGACAGCUCUCUAAGGAAAAUAUAUUUACCUUUUAGGUAAGUUGUUCAUACUGCCAGCAUUUGCUCCUCGUAUGUCUCACUAUUUGUCUUAGAUAUUUUUCUAGUCUCAUGAUAUGGCUCCAUUUCUUGGUUGCUAUUUUGUCAAGUCUUUUGUCCACCCACUUACAAGAAAAGGUGUUAUAUGCAGGAUGUCAUAUACUGCUUCCUUCAGGACAGACCCCCUUGUCCUCACUUUUCAAACUUUACUGUUCCUUAUGACCUAGAGGGUGGUAAGUCAUCCACCUGGCUUGAUUCGAGGAGCAGUGACAGGCUCACCUGACUCAACAUUAUUUGAAAAUGUAAUACUUACCAUGGACUACUUACACUGCAUGGAGCAUUUAUCCUAAGAUUCCAAUCAAAGUUCUACAAUCAGUUUUGAUUGGGAAACACUUCAGUUUGAUAUCCAUCUUGGAAAUAAACAGUGCACAUUUAGCAUAGUAAACAUUCUAGGAAAAAGAAAAAAAAAA